UGGGGAAUAUUGCACAAUGGGCGCAAGCCUGAUGCAGCCAUGCCGCGUGUGUGAAGAAGGCCUUCGGGUUGUAAAGCACUUUCAGCGGGGAGGAAGGCGUUAAGGUUAAUAACCUUGGCGAUUGACGUUACCCGCAGAAGAAGCACCGGCUAACUCCGUGCCAGCAGCCGCGGUAAUACGGAGGGUGCAAGCGUUAAUCGGAAUUACUGGGCGUAAAGCGCACGCAGGCGGUCUGUCAAGUCGGAUGUGAAAUCCCCGGGCUCAACCUGGGAACUGCAUUCGAAACUGGCAGGCUAGAGUCUUGUAGAGGGGGGUAGAAUGCCAGGUGUAGCGGUGAAAUGCGUAGAGAUCUGGAGGAAUACCGGUGGCGAAGGCGGCCCCCUGGACAAAGACUGACGCUCAGGUGCGAAAGCGUGGGGAGCAAACAGG
This 429-nucleotide ribosomal RNA is filed under the name Chloroflexota bacterium. RNAcentral's name for it is "Chloroflexi bacterium partial 16S ribosomal RNA". It matches the Rfam family "Bacterial small subunit ribosomal RNA", at positions 355 to 776 of the family's 1533-position model. The record is from RNAcentral. Lineage: Bacteria; Bacillati; Chloroflexota.